Long non-coding RNA from Alligator mississippiensis (American alligator), 8699 nucleotides. RefSeq lists it as uncharacterized. The record is from RefSeq and is a predicted model, not a curated record. The transcript is spliced from 2 exons. Lineage: Eukaryota; Metazoa; Chordata; Crocodylia; Alligatoridae.
GCUCUCUUACUGGCUAACCGUUUAACCAAUAUAAUUAGAGUAGGUUGAACAAAUACUUUUUGAAACAAUAUUUACAUCCCUAGCUCCUCAGAUAGGAACUACCCCUGGUAGAGGGACUAUCCUAGCUGUUACUGGCCUGCUCACUUGCUAGCAGCUAGCCUUUGGUCAGGUAUUGGUUCUACUCAGUAAGCUUAUUUAGCCUGCUGCAGCAUCCCUUUAAAGUAACAGGAGCCUCUGGCUCCCUGUUAUACCACCACCUAACCCACAUGCCUCCUCCCUCCAGCUCCACAGAAAAUAUGAAGUAUUGCUUGGAGACAAAGCACAUGGCAUAUAGCACUGAUUUGAUCUGCAGGGUGGGGCCUUGAAUGGAGUGAAAUGGAGAGAGGCGUCAAUUUGAUUCACCUGUGGAACCAGUGAGAGAGUAUAAGCAUUUCAUCCUACAGGAGAAAUUAAUGGAUCUAUUACCUUUUCCUUCCUUAUUCUGUUCUUGCCAUUUUUCCAUUGCUGCACUAGUCCUCAACUGGUUAGGAUAUGACAGAAAUGGAAAGAGACUGGCACUGAGCAGAUACAUGGGAAGUUUAGGAGGAAAGCAAAGGAUGGAGAUAGCAAAAAGAGGAGUGAAUGAUAUUAAGGAUACAUAGAAGGAAGCCCUGGUAAAUAUGACAUUCUAGCCUGCAAGUAUGUGCUUUUGAGGCCAAAGUUCUUUGGAUAAAUCUGAUAUCUUUCAUUAGACCACCUCAAAUAGCUGAAAAAAUUCUUCUUAGUAAGCUUUUGGACACAAACACCCUUUGUCAGGCUGAGGAAGCAGAUACUCGAUGCAUUUGUGGACCUAGCCAUCUGAAUUGACUUCUGCUUUUAGGGAUGCAGAGAUAAAGAGAAAGAUGCUCUGCCCCCUCCAGGGCUUCACCCUGCUAUGGUUGCUUUCAACCCCAUGUCAGUGGGUGGGGAGGAGGUGGGGCCUCUGGCACCCCAUACCACAAGAACAGGAACACUGCCAGCAGCAGGAGCAGUGGUGGGACCCCAGGACAUGAAUGCACCACAUACCCCCAGAGAGGAGUGUCAUGGCGGGGUCCUCACGGAGGGCCGUGAUCUCCUUGAGGUUCCCUCACUCUGUGUCAGGCCGGCCCAAGACACCCUCUAACUCUCGCCCGCCACGUCUUGUUGGAAAUAUAUUAGGGAGGCUGCCUAUGACUCCCUGGGCACGGCUACUCGGGACCUCUGUCCCCGCGGUUCUUCCGGACCCCCUGGGGGUCUCCCGAUACGGUGGGUGUUCUUCGGACACCCUAGCCUUAUGGGCUAUGCAUGGCUCCUACCUCCCCUGAUACCACACCCCAAGCCUCGCAGAUGUAAUGGACGUUGUCCGGUCUGUCUCUCUCGUGCCCAGCCCCCCGCUGGGCCUCCCCUGAUGGUACGGUCCCACUCAGGGACUCCCUAGCGGGCCCCGGUCCUAUGGGCCAACCGCACGGCCACCCUCUCUGACCCUGGCUCACCGCACUGCUACUCCCUGUCUUCUCGGGGCAACCGCAGCACCCUGCCUCAGUCUGAGGGGUGUUGCCGCACUAGCCUGCGGCCGGACUCACUAUGCCCAUCUCGGGCUUCUCAGUAUGGCCCCGCUCUCUAGGGCUGCUCAGUAUGGCGCUCCCCCUUCUCUGGGGCUCGCCGUGCCCACACUGGGCUACUCAAUAACGUACAAUGGCGCUCCCCCUCUUUGGGGUUCACCAUGCCCACACUGGGCUACUCGAUAAUAUUGCCCCUUUCCUGGGGCCAGGGUCUAUGUUCCCCCCACACGCACUCCGGGGUCUAGGUCCCCGUCCGCAACCUACGGGUUGCACCCGCGACCCACUGGCCGCGCUCCUCGCCGCCAGUUGCUCACACACUGGCGUGCGAGCUGCGCCUUCGCUGGCGCUAUGAAGAUAAUGCGCCCUCUUGGUGCUAGGGCACCCCACACUCUCUGGGGUCCUUGUGAUUGAGGCCUCCUCCAACCCCUACAGCCUCACCCAAGCCUCCGGUUGUAAUAAUACAAACACAAAGCAAAACCACAAGCCCCUAGGCUGUAACAUAACCACAAGCCGCAUGGCCAUAACUCAUUAUCAUAGCUCAAGCCUCCAGGGCUAUCAUGAGCUGUACUUGCGACUCAGGCUCCCUUCCACAUCCUCACUCCCAGAGCUCCUGCCUCCCAGGCUGCUGGCAGAGAACUGCCAGCCUGGCUUCGGCUCUGGGCUUUAUAAGGGCCAGGCCCUGCCCCCUACAGGCAGCUGGCUCCCCUUAGUUGCUCCGGCAACCCACAGCUGUGCUCACUUGGUUCUGCCAGGGCUCUCUCCCUGGCAGUUUCUCCUCUCUUAGGAGUAGGCACUAAGGUGCCCUGCGACAAGGAGGUCAAGGUAAAACGGUGAUCCUGGGCCUGGUGAAGGGAACUGGCUCAGGGUUGUCCAAAGUUCCCAAGACAUCCACUGCCCAUGAAGUUUGUGGCAAACUCAGCCCAUAGAACCCCCAACUACUGUUAUCUGCCUGUAUCUGAGUCCUAGAACAAAACUUGUUCCCCAUACUGACUACCCUGCUGGACUCUGGAACCUCUAGUCAUUUCAUACAUGAGGCUGUGGUGCAAAGUCUACAAAUCCUGCUAACACAGUGACACAAACCUGAAGCAAUAGAGACCGUAGGUUUUGAUGCAAAGAGACUGGAAGCAAAACAAAAUGAAACACAGUAGUGCUUCUAAAGUAUCAAGUAUUGGCUGCUACAUCAUGUAUGACAGAGGACGCCAUAAAACAGUGGUUUUAAUCCAGUAUUGAAAGUGUUAAGAGCCUGAUUUUGCAAACCGAACCUAAUUAGUUGGACUACUUCUGUGAGCAAGGACUAUGUAACAGCUGCAUGUAUUGCUCCCAGCGUGGGAGGGCCCGGGGAGGUGUAGCAGACCACCAGAGAAGUUCAGCCAAAUGCCCAGUAAGUGUGGGAAACAGCCAGUCCUUACCUGCAGGUGCGGAGCUGACAGAAGUGGCACGGUGAGCAGCACUGCUGUGGUGAUUUAUAAGCACCUGUGGCUGUGUGGGCACUCAGGGCAUGAUGCCACAGACAUAGGUGGAGGAAGAAAAAAUUAUUUGUGGGGGGACUGAGUGUGUGCGUGCCUGCUAUUUGAGACUUGCUGUUUGAGGGAGCCAAGAGAUCCAACAUUAAGUGUAAUGAAGACCAUCUUCUUUUAGAUCAGCUGAACUAUACCAGAACCCAAGCAGGACUAGAAAACUGGUAGUGUACUACCCAACUUCCUGAAGCAAUAUGCUCAGUUUUAUCUAUGGUGAUGCUCAAUUUCUGGUGGAAUCAGGGUCCCUCUCCCUUGCUGAUGUGAUUGAAUAACACUUGUUUUCUUAUAAUGCAUUUCCUAGUUACAGUGAACUAAUCAUUCAUUAAAUUGUAUCUUACAGUGAGUCUGUUAGCAUAUGUAUGGAGCAACAGAGCCAAUAUCUUGAAACUGUUUCUUAACUGGAAGUGGGAAAGUAGUAUACAGUGCAUUAAUGCAGAUUAGGAAUGUACUAAUGGCUGGAAGCUACAACACAGAGUUAGGAAUGAAAUGAAACAUACUGAAAUAUAAAGAUGAUUUAAAAGAGCACAUCAAAUUAUAUAGCCUCUUUAUGAUGUAUUUUAUGUCUACACUAUAUUUUUCAUUGUACACAUCACAGUCUAAUCCAGAUAUUUCUGAAACUCAUUUGUACAAAUGUCCUUCUGGCCUUGGUAGCAGCAUUUUACUUUGUUUGAAGAGUAUCUUCCUUAAAAGAGUAUUUCCAUGGACUUCACUGGGACUGCUUAUGUAAGUAAAGUUCUACUUGGUAUACGGUAAGUAAAGAUAGUAGAAACCAGUGCUAGAAACUUAUUUUGUAUGUUGUUUUUCAUUUUAAAAUCUUGCUGGAGUUUUUUGUUUCCUGAAUGUCUCCUAGUUUAUGGACCGUGCGCAGUAUGGACAAUGAUCUGACAAUAAGGUCUGACCCAGUAUGGCACUUCUUACAUUUUAAUAUCUAUUAGAAAAAUCUCAUAAGUGAUUUUUUCUUCUAACAAUUUGAAAUUUUCUUUUAGCUGGCAUUGAAAUCUCUCCAUUUUUCAUAAGAACAUACCUGAUUUUAAUAUUUUUCCUCAGCAAAUAGAUUCUUGAGACGUGGCAUCAUCUUCACUGCCCUUCCCUGCACUCUAAGACCUAAUUGUUUAUUGUCAGUUGUUAGAUCCAGACAAGCUACACUAGAGAGUUACAGGCAAAAGUGGCUCUACACCACUAAUGCACUUGCUUUAGUCCUGGGGUUCAUGGUUCUGCCUCAGUGCUACUCCAAAUUACAUUUGUUUGUGGCAGCUGUCAGGGGCCAGUGUAGUAGCCAAGAAUAACCAGAAUAUAGAACUUCUCUACCCUCAGCCUUUUCCCUCAGCAAGUCCAUUAUGCUGAAGGGUGGCAAAGUAAGAAUGAUACAGAGCUGUGAUAGCUCAUUUAAUAAAAUUAAAUUAAAUAAUUCAUUUGACUCAGAACAUUCUGAUCUCAGACACUUAAACUAUCAAAGAUUAACCUUCCCAUGAUGUGGAAAACCCAGGUACAAGUUGCCUCAGAUGCUACCCCACAUAUGUCAUCCACCAGGGCAGUGUCCUCCUAACCACCACACUGUAAGAUAUCUCACGUGAGGAUACGCUUGGUCUUUCUUGUUAAUACUAUUCCAUUUUCCAAAGACCACUAACAUUUUCUUUCAGUUGAAAGGAGAAGAAAAAUGGGAAUGGCUUUAUAGUUUGAUGGUUAGUGUAACACCUGGGAGGCAAGACACCUGGAUUCUAGGUGCUGUAUUCCAUGUAUAAUAGAAUAAUGUCAAGAGGAGAGAGAGACUGGAGGACCCUUCCCCAGUCUACAGCUUGGUGGUUAGGCUAGUGUCUUGAGAGGUGUUGAUUCAAAUCCCCUCAGGCAACUUUAGCGCCUCCUGAUUGGAUGCUUUAAUAACCACUGAGCUAUUAAUUAACAGGGAUUUUCCUGAAACUUCAUUAUUGGCUUUGGGGAGUACGGUGGAGCUGAGCUGACUUCACAUCCAGCUGCUCACCACCCCUCCCACCCCCCGCUGCCGUGUCUACACAGGCUAAUUUGCCCCGGGCCCCACACCCUGCUAUGGUCGUCUCUGGCCAACACCAUCUGUUUUAGGGAUGUGAUAUAAGGGAGGAUCCAAAACUGCCACCAGUGUACCUGAUCUUAGGCUGUCUGAAGGAAUGGAGAUCUGGCUUAACUUUGGAUAAAAGCUUAGCAUAGCUGAGUUGGCUUAUUCUUCCAGCUGGAUUUUAACAAGUGACUAGAAGCUGUACAUUUAUAUUAGAAUACAGUUGCUUCAGCAUAUUUGCAGUGGAGAAUUAUACUACCAUACCAUGCUUGUCAUAUUGCCUAUGUAGACAAAUCUGAAAGGAAUAACAUCAUUAAUUCUUUUGUAUUUUAUCACUUAGUGAAUACAUGUGGAAUUUCUUCGCCCUUUUUUACUACUACUCUGCACUCAUGUGACAGUUUCAGUGACUUUUCCAUAAUUACUCUCAAUCCUUUUCCUCAUUGUCUAGUGGAUGAUUGCAUUAUUUAGGACAUAUUCCCUAUUCCUUGCUCCCACACUAAAUUAUUUUACAUUUGUUUACCCUGUCCUGAUUUGGACAUCUGAUGGAUCAACCACCUGAAUGACCCAAAUCUUUUUGAACCUCAUUUCAUUGUUCUCCUGUGUUUGCUUUCCCCCUAAACUUAGUAUGAGGAGACUUAAAGAGCUUGUAACCAUUUAAUGGAGUCAUAAAUGAACACUACACUUUACUUAGGCAAAUGAAUGAAAGAAAUUAGAAGAAAGUAAAGAAAACAAGCAUUGAUUAAUAGUGCCUAAAAUUUGUUACCAAAAUGUUCAGAGGUAUUUAUUCAUUAGUAAUAGUGAUUAAAUUUAACUAAAGUAAUAAAUAAUACCAUAACUUGCUUAGUGUCCUUCAUAAAAUUCUGAAAUUCAUUUAAAGUUCUAGUAGUAGAUCCCAGUCCAAAAAUCUCAUGUGCAGUCUGCAGUCUCAGAAGUACUGCAUUUUGGGACUUCCAUUUUCAGGCUAAGAGCACCCUCAGGCUUACCAUUGGAUACACAAGCAGCAAAGCAUUUUUUUUCCCCUGGCAAUUUCCUAAUGUGUUCCUUAACUGAACAAAGGUUGGGGCCUGGUUGCCUGAGGAAAACCACAUAAUUGAAGAGGAUGUCUGGUGCAGACAGCACAAUGCACCAUUCCCAAAGCAGGAAGCAGUGACAGCAUUUUAAACCCUAUGCAAAGGGGAAAAUGCUAAUUCAGGUUUUCAAGAAACAAAUUAUCCCUGGGAAUGACUAUUUCAAUCAAGACAGAGUAGUGCAUUUUGUUGGUUUUUAGCUUUAUAUUUGUUUUUAUGUUUUUUUUAAAAGAAGUUAGGUCUGCAGGGUGGGGGAGAUUGGGUGAUUGGGGACAUCUAGCAGGGGGCUUGGAGAAAUCUGGGGGAACUAGUGAAGUAUGUGGGAGGUUGCUGGGGUCUGGGAGGCUUUGGUGGGAUCAAGAAGGCUAGUGAGAUCCAUGAAAGAGUUUGGGAGGAUGGGGAGGCUGUCUCCUUCCCCAGGACCAGAGGCUAUUUUUAGUCCGCCAACUGCCCCUCCAAUGAACACCCCCAGCAAAUCAAACCCCAUAAUGCCACCCACCCUUCCCUCCACCACAACUUAGUUUGAUUGGCUCCUUACACGAAAAGCAGCUUGCAGACUUGGGUGUUCGUCAAGGUCAGGAGGAAGGAAGGGGUAUGGGGAGGUAAAAGUAGCUUGGUGCCAUAGAGGGGACAGGUAGAAAAAGUACAGCCCUGGGGCUGGCUGCACAGAGAACUGUACAGAAGUCCAGUUAGGUCAAUCUCAAUGGACCCAUUCUAAAUUAGAAUACCUGAGAGGUAGGGUUAACUUAGAUUGGGUUGGGCAUUUUUAGAUGGAUCUAAACUUCUGUACAGUUCACUCUUAAAUCCCGAGUUAGAUCAAUUUAGGUGUAAUGUCCACACUUGGGUGAUCUAAGUUAGAUUGGAUGGCCAUUUUUAAUGUGAUCUAACCCCUCCCCUAACCCUGAACAUCUGUAUCUAGGUUGUCCAAUACUCCCUGUAACAGGGGACUGGCUCCAGCCCCUGUUCCGAGCAUUAAAAGCUGGUAGGACAGGGUUGGGAAACAAACUUACCCCAGGAAAUCCAGCAGGGUUGCAUGGCUGUUGGAGCUGCUGGGGAAAGGGUCCGGAGCGACCUGCAGAAAGGGAGCAGGAUCCCAGCCACACACGGUCAAGUUUGUGGGGAGUGAGCCCUUGUUGGACCCCUGGAGUUCCAAUGGAGCAGAAGACGAGAGCUGGAAUACAGAUAUUCCCCAGAGAGGGGGACAUACAGCUGGUUCAGAGAGCUGUGCAGUCUGAGUGGAGACGUGGAGCUGGAACACUGUGGCUGGACCCAGUAAACCAGGAGAGUCAGGACGGGGCUGGGGAGAUUGUGACAGAGAGAAGAGAAGUGGAACUGAUCCAUCGGUUCAGGGAACUGACAAACCAGUGGUGCUUCAAAGGAUUUGAUGAAUCAAUUGCUACUGACUCUGAAAUACUGAUGAAUUGACUUUUAUUUAUAUUAAGAAUUUGAUUAAUUAUUUAUCAAUUAGAUGAAGAAUGGAUGGACUCUGUUGAUUGACUGAGGAUGGGGAUAAUUAAUUGAUCUUCUGUAAGGAGGAGAGACUGAUGGAUUCAUUGAGGAUUACUUGGAAGAAGGAAACGAAGGAAGGCAGCUAGCAUUGCAAAAUUGAUUAGUUGAUGGUUGAGAAUCCUGAAUAGAUUAAUGAAGUUAUUUGUAUUGGGAAGGACUGAUGGUUUACCUUUUCCAGCCCUGAGGGGAGAAUUAGCUUGGGAGUGCUUUAUUCAGUAUUUGACUGAAUUGAUUAUUGAGCUUCCUGGAGAGUCAGGAGACUGAGUCAAUUACUAUAGGACAUGGAACUCCAAGUUUUAUUUAUAUGAUGAGCCCCAGUGCCCUUUCAAGCAAAUAGGACUAACGAAUUUAGGUGUGAUCCCUUCCCGGAUUGCACAUUUUGAUUGAAAGCAUAUAAAGAAUUGGAUAAGAGAUGAAGUAUUGCAUAAUGCAUGAACUGUGUCUGUCCCGGACAGUGACACGCCGAGUGGUGGUUGCUUUCUGAGUGGGUCUGAACUCAGGAGUUAAGGCCACAAAACUAUUUCAUUCCAUCCAGGAAGAGCACAUACCAACCGCUGAAACUUCCUUAGCCUGACAAAGGGUUUUUGAACCCAAAAGCUUGCUUAAUAAUUAUUUUCCAACUAUUUGGGUUGGUCUAAUAAAAGAUACCAGAUUCACCCAAGGAACCUUGUCAGCCACAAAACUAGGCAUCCGACCUGGCGUGGAAAGGGGCAGGGUGUAGAGGGUAAGAAGCCCUGAGAAGUGGACUGCCCUCAGCCAGGUGGAUUUUUGCCCCUUUUCAUAACAUUCAACCUCCAUCUAACAUUGAACAACCAGUCGUGGCAGGAAAAGUGAAGCUGGGGUGGAGACCCGGUAAGCCUGGAGAAAUUUACACUCCCCAUUAGAAAAAAUAUUCUUUUGGUUUUCAGCUUGGCCAAACUUCAGUCACUUAGACUAGCAUUUUCCAUGAGAAGUGUCUGCCUCAGCCUGACUUUGUAUUUUUUAAAGUUUCAGCUAAAAUAAAUUAGCCAUUUUCACA